CCUAGCCUGGGAACCUCCAUGUGCCACAGGUGUGGCCCUAGAAAAGACAAAAAUAAAUAAAAAUUUUAAAAUACAUAUAUAUCACUAAGCCAUUAUGAUUCUGUUAAAGUGUAGCGCUUACACAGCAUUUAACAGAUGGAUCAAAUCAUAAACGUAUGGUAGCAGAUGCAUGUUUUAUAAAACUCCUAUGUAACAAAGGCAGGAGUAUAUUGUACUGGUGGAGAUUACUAAAAGCCACCAUUGGAACCGAAUAAGCUUAAUGAAAUGAAAAUAGAGAUUCUAAUGCUAUAGUCUCCUUUAAAAUGAACACGCAGGUUGCUGGGGGCAGCACCGCCCACUCUACCACACAGUCACCCACCACCCACUGCAGCCUGGAGCUGGCCAGGUCACAGCUGGACAGGUCAGAGCCACGCUCUGGAAUAUGAACAGGGGGACGCUGUCCCCCCCGUCAGCAGUGGGAGCCUGAGCAAGAAGGUCAUGACAAAGAGGGGCCAGAGUGGCCACCGGGCGCCGUGUGCAGAGCAAGAAGCAGGUGGAGUGAGUGGGGGCUUCAGAAUCCUGGAUUAGACAGGCCUCCUCCAGUGUAUCUGCAUUUCCUUACGCAUGGUAUACGUUUGGCAAGCGGUUGUCAGGGAUGACAUAUAGAGAAAAAGAAAUCUGAAAGGAUGAAAUAGCAAAUAAAUGGUAUCAUUAGCCCAGGUGAUGGAUGCAUGGGUCUUUUAAACUGAAGACAUAUUUUAUACAUCUUAUGUAUGUUCUCCUUUCCUAUAAAAAUCUGAAAUGUAUAUGCACGUAAGUAGAAAGGCUAAUAUUUUCUCCCCACCCUCCAGUGUUGUGUGUGCUCCGGAGUUUGCGGAGACCCGUGCUUUAGCGUCCCGGGCAUCCUCAGUUUCGAUCUACCCUACAUCCUCUCUUGCAGUACCCACCACUCCAUCCCACCACCUUUCUCUGGAGGUUCUGAAUGAGCUUCUGUUUAAUCCGUAAAGGACGGAUUAAAAUAUAGAAAAAGCUUUUGUAAACAUGACUCUAAAGGCAGAAAGCAUAGAGCAAGUCAUUGCUAGACUUGAUCAAAGUCGUAUAUAACGGAGUUACUAUGCCUGAUGAGGAAUGUUUACAAAUCCGUGAGGAAAUAGAGGAUGAGCACCGCGAAAGGUAGGGCUGAGCAAAGGACAUACGGAUUUCAGAAAAGAACAUCAGCUUUUACAUACACACACAGCAUGGCUAGUGAUCAAAUAAUGCAAACUAAAACAGUGGGAUUUUUGCCUUUUGGGUUGAUAAACAUGCUUCAGAAGGUUACCCACUAAGGAGGAGGGUCUGGAGAAACAGACCUUCACAUGAGAGCUGGUGGAACAUAAAGUGUGGCGGCCUUUCUGGAUGGCAGUUUGUCAACACAGAGCAAGGUUCCUCUUCCAUCUUUGUACAUUUUAUCCACGAAAAGACUCGUAGGUUUGCGCAAAGAGUUCCUCAUUGUUUUUGUAAUAAUAACGGAAAUAGUAGAUAAUAGAAAGCAACCCACUCACCCAGCUAUAGGGGAUCCUUAAGACACCCAACUGUGGGAAUAAAAAACCAUGGUAUAUUUCCAAAUAGCAUGAAAAUGGAGCAGCUGAUUGCAUGUUUAAUGAUAUGGAAAGUUAUCCAUAUAUAUAAGUGAAUAAAUAAGCCGUAAACAUUUGAUCCUAUUUUUUGUAUAAACACAACAAAUACCAGGAUCUUAAUAAUGAAUGAUGAUUAUUUUCUAACUUUUGUGGGUCUAUUUUCUAAAUCUGCCUAAAAGAAUACAUGUUUUAUAAUAAAGAGUCAUUUUUAGGAGUUCCCUUCAUGGCGCAGUGGUUAACGAAUCCGACUAGGAACCAUGAGGUUGCGGGUUUGGUCCCUGCCCUUGCUCAGUGGGUUAACGAUCCGGCGUUGCCGUGGGCUGUGGUGUAGAUUGUAGACGCGGCUCGGAUCCCACGUUGCUGUAGCUCUGGCGUAGGCCAGAGGCUACAGCUCCAAUCUGACCCCUAGCCUGGGAAUGUCCAUAUACCGUGGGAGCAGCCCAAGAAAUAGCAAAAAGACCAAAAAAAAAAGUCAUUUUUAGGGAAAACAAUCCUAGCAUCAGGAAGACAAAUAGUUUAUCCCCACAUCAAUUUUGAUCAAACAGCAGUUGCUUCCUGGACUAGAAGAGGGCAAAACUGUGACCAGUCUCCCGGGGUGUGUGCCCUCCUCCACCGACAGCUUCUCCCAGGAUCUGGGAAUAGGCAGUAGCUGCCCCGGUCUGGCGCCUCCAGCCAGGACGUGGAGAUGCUGGGUUUAUUGCUGCUGCCUUGUGGGAGAGACGUGGCCAGACUCAAGCUCCAGAUUCCUGCCUGGGCAAGUCCAGGAGGAAAGGCUCUUGGUAACGCACUGUGCUGGACGUUCACCCUGCACCUGGUGCGUGAAGGACACCCAGCCGCCUCCCAACCCCUAUAUGUGCUUGGAGGAUAAAGCCUGCUUUCAUCCAAGUGGGUCUCUCUGGUGCCUUAAAUCACAGAGGAUAGUCGAGCUGAAGAGGAUGUAAGGGAUCAUUUGGUUCAACUCCUUUUUAAAAAAAAACAAAAAAAAACCAGAAGGAAACCGAGGCCCAAAUAUUUGAGACCUUUUCACUUGUACAAGGGAAAUGUUCUUUCUCCCAAAGGGUGUUGUUAGGGGCCUGUUGAAGCAGUAGGACAGCUUUGUGCACCAGACUCAGAGCAAGGGAACCACGGUCUUCCCACUUCGCUCUUAACACUGGCCAGUGUUCCUCACUGAGUCACAGUUUCCACAUCAAUUAAGUGGGAUAAUUCCACCUGCUCUGCCAGCCCCCUGGGAUUUUUGUAAGGCUCACAUGAGGUAAGGAGCAAAUAAAACACUUGCAAUGUACGCAAGAGGUUACUAAAAUCUCUGAUAAAUGAAAGUUCUCAAAAUAGAAAAAGAUUAACAUCUCUAGAGAAAAAAGACAAAGGACACAAAGGCUAUUCAUAGAACAACAAAUAACCAGUAGCAACAAGAUGAGGUUCAGCCUCACUCAUAAUAAAAGCAAAUAAGGGAGUUCCUGCUAUGAUGCAGUAGGUUAAAGAUCUGGUGUCGUCCCUGAAGCAGUGAGGGUUUGAUUCCCUGGCCUAGGAACUUUCAUAUGCCAUGGGGUGGUCAAAAAAAAAAGAAAAAAGCUUAUCAGGUAUCAGUGAGUUACCUUGUUCACCUGUAAAACUGGCA
Molecule: long non-coding RNA, 3210 nt
Filed under: Sus scrofa (pig)
Lineage: Eukaryota; Metazoa; Chordata; Mammalia; Artiodactyla; Suidae
Description: lncRNA (ENSSSCG00015024188.1)
Source: RNAcentral